AUAGGAACACCCAGUAUCACCUCACACUUUCAUCAACUUCAAAGACUUUUCCUCCCAAUAUUCUACCCCGUUGCCCUUCAAAAAUCCAUCCAAGAAAUUUCAUUAAUUAAUGUUUUACAAUGAAAUAUUUGAAAAGUUUCCCAUAAAUUAGAAGAUUUUCCCUAAGGUUUAAAACUCAAUACCCAUGUAUAGGGGCAUUAGCUGGCAUGCCCCUUUAAAAACCUUGUGUCCUUGAGGCUCCUGUCUGGGCUGUGCACCAGCAUUCAUGAUAACAGUCCUUGGCCAACCCAGCUCCUUUCCCGUGGGAGAGUUAGCACCAAGACCCUCACGGUAUGAAGGAACAUGGAGGCCCUCCAGGGGGGCUCUGGUCCUUGGAAUGUGGGUCGUACAGGGACUAUCUCCCUUGGCAAGCACGCAGCCUUUGUUCCUCUGCCUACUUAAGCAAGCUUCUCUUAGGGAGCAGUAGCGGGUGCAGGUUGCUGUCCAGACGGCAGCCACCGGACCUUCCCUGUAAGUAACUCCCAAUAAACCCAUAUGUCUCAUUCGCUGUCUCCGGGUCUUUUCUUUGGUCUCUCAGCAACCUGUCCCACACUGCUCACCCAGGUGUGCGUGUGGCGGAACACUAUGUUUCCUCAUCCUUAGAGAGACAUGCAGCCCUAAAAUUGCACAAAAUCAUUUCCUUUAAAUCCACAUGCCCCUUUUAAAUAAUCUUUAAAUAAAUCUCAAAUCUCAGGAAGUCUUUCCUAGAUCAGGUCUUAGUCUUCUGCCCCAGGCCCCAGAGUUUCUCUGAGAGCUACCAUCCGUUUGUCAGGGAGCAAAACAAAGCCCUCGGCCAAUCAGACCGUUUUUAAGAGGAGCUUCUCCACCUUGAUUGUGCGUUAGAACCACCUGAGACCUUCAGAACUACUGAUGCUUGGGGCCCAAAUUUUAUCAUUAUGUGAGACUCUCUGGAAAGGGACCGUCAUCAGGAUAGUUAAACCCUCUCCAGGUGGUUCUAAUCUGCAGCCUGGGCAUGACUCAGUUUACUAAAGUCUCCACCUCACUGGAGCACAAUGAGGUGGGAAUGGACCAAGGAGGCCCCUUCACCCGGGUGCAGAUCAUGGCAAAGUGCACGCUGUUCCUCUAAGGAUGCAGAUGUCAAACCAGACAACACGGUAGAACCACCAAGGGAGCUUUUCACAAAUACUACUGCCUGGAACCCAGCCCCAAAUCAUCAAGUCUGAAUCACUGGGGUUGGCCUUUGAAAUGACUUCCAGAUGAAUCUGUGUAGAAUCAGGGCUGGCAAGCUAUUUCACCACUGAAUUCACUCGCAGACAGGAUUCACGAUACUCUGAGUUUCUGGACUAGUGGGAGAGCUAUGCUUAACCUGGAAGUUAUAUUGAAUUGUACGAGUGUUUGUCAAGGUUGAAGACAGAAUAACAGGGAAACAACUCUGAGGGGGGUCACUGUCUGGGAAGGCGUCUAUGUACCAAGUGACUGCCCGAGACCUGCAUGAGGAGUAUGAGCCUGCUUGAUGAAUGGCAUUAGUGGAGGAUGGAAGAGGAGCAAACACAUCCAAGACCUUUAAUAGUGGCUAGAGCUCCCAUGGGCUUCAGAGACUGCCAGAAGCGGAGAGGAGCAAACACGUUUCUACACUCCGAGACCUCCUGACUCUCCUGAGCUCCAGCAAGGCAGACCAAGAGCCAGCUGUCUGCAGAUCCUGGAUUAGGCCCUGUGGCUGCGGAGAAAACUCAGGGAUAAAAAUGAGGAUAAACUGGGAGGGAACCUGCUUCUUGUGUGUCUGUGGGAGGAUAGAGAAGGAAACUGGAGCCCAGCAUGGCAAUUACCUUGAACAGAAAUCCACACUUGUAAUUUCAGAGCUGAGAAUAAGAACCCAGCACUGUGGCUCUGAAACCAAGAACUAAGAGGUUAAAAUAUCUUCGCUAGAACAAAUACUUUGAGAUAAGCUUUGCUAACUGCAGCUGUGCAUAUUCAACAUAAUCAACUGUUGUUGAAAACUAACCAGAUGUCCCUCCUUAGUAUAUGAGUGAGCUGUCUUUCCCAGAAAUUCAACAUCCAGACAUCAAGACUCAAUCUUCAAGGCCAAAUGCAGGCAGGUGGGAAGAUGCCAACUAGUAAGGCCACAUGCACUCACUCCCCUACCUAAAACCCAGCACAUGCUUCCCCUCCCCUCCCUAAAACCCCAGAUAAAAGCCUCUACCUUUAUCCCUUCAGUGAGGUGGAUCUGAGUUCUAACUCCAUCUCCUCGUCUGGCUGCUUUUUCAAUAAUAGUAAACCUCUUUCCUUGCCACAAGCCUGGUGUUUCUGGUUUUUUCUUUGCUGAUCCUCCUGUGAAAAAGGUAAACGAACCUGUGUUUGGGUUCAGUUGCAGCUGCUGACCUUAAUAGCUGUCCUAUGCUGCCUCUGAACUGUUUGGUGGUAUAUCCCCUCACAAAUUCUGGGAGAUUUAAUGGGAUUGUGUGUCUGCUUUGAUAUUUUAUCUUAGUUAUUGUAUUUUUCAUUGCCAGAGGUUCCAUUUAGGUUGUUUGUGUCUUCCUAUUAUCUCCUUGCAUUCCUGCUUCCUCUCCAUGCUUGACGAUAGGAAGUCCAUUUCUCAUGCUUGUUUUCCAGGCCUUCUAUACCAGUUCUACCAUCUGUGUCAUUUCUGGGUCUACUGGUUGAUUUCUCUGCUAGUGGUGAAUUGUAUUUCUCUGUUUUAUCGCACACCUCGUAAUUCUAGGUGGGACACCAGCAUUGUGCAUUUUACAUUGUUUGGUGCUGGGUAUUUUAUGUUCUUUUAAAUAAUAUUGGGCUUUGUUCUGUCAUGCCAUUAAAUUUCUUGGAAUAUUGAUGCUUUGGAGGAUGUUUGGAAUCGUUGUGAGCUAGGACUGGAACAGGCUUCUGGUUGUGCAUGAGUUGGCUCCACUGCUGGGCUAUACCGUUAGGAGCACUCUAUUUGAAUCCUCCUGGACUGGGGGUCUUUACACUUUGGUGGCUGGGGACACAGAUUCUUCCUGGUCCUGAGUGACCUCAGGGAACUAUUUCUGUUCUGAACGUUUGAAUAUUCGAUUCACGGUUUUUCCAUCUGAAUACUGGUUUAUUUUGAAGACAAAUUUUCAUUCAAAAUAAUUUAUUCUCAUCUUACGAAUUCUUCUUAUGUUUCUCUUAUGUGGAUGUCAUCAUUUUCUCUUCAUUUGAAAAUAUCCUAUUUUUCU
RNAcentral lists this long non-coding RNA (3194 nucleotides) under Equus asinus (donkey). Its description in RNAcentral is "lncRNA (ENSEASG00005034645.1)". Lineage: Eukaryota; Metazoa; Chordata; Mammalia; Perissodactyla; Equidae. The record is from RNAcentral.